GGAGUUAGCCGGUGCUUCUUCUGCGAGUAACGUCACAGAUGUAAGGUAUUAACUUACACCCUUUCCUCCUCGCUGAAAGUGCUUUACAACCCGAAGGCCUUCUUCACACACGCGGCAUGGCUGCAUCAGGGUUUCCCCCAUUGUGCAAUAUUCCCCACUGCUGCCUCCCGUAGGAGUCUGGGCCGUGUCUCAGUCCCAGUGUGGCUGAUCAUCCUCUCAGACCAGCUAGGGAUCGUCGCCUAGGUGAGCCUUUACCUCACCUACUAGCUAAUCCCACCUGGGCUUAUCCAUCAGCGCAAGGCCCGAAGGUCCCCUGCUUUCCCCCGUAGGGCGUAUGCGGUAUUAGCAGUCGUUUCCAACUGUUAUCCCCCACAAAUGGGCAAAUUCCCAGGCAUUACUCACCCGUCCGCCGCUCGUCAUCUUCAAAAGCAAGCUUUUGAAAUGUUACCGCUCGACUUGCAUGUGUUAGGCCUGCCGCCAGCGUUCAAUCUGAGCCCAGUAGUACUAACCUAAACCUUCGUACGUACGUAGGACGGGCCGGGUCGGUCGGACGGAACGGGCCGACUAAGU
This 570-nucleotide ribosomal RNA is filed under the name uncultured bacterium. RNAcentral describes it as "partial 16S ribosomal RNA". The record is from RNAcentral.